RNAcentral lists this ribosomal RNA (253 nucleotides) under uncultured bacterium. Its description in RNAcentral is "partial 16S ribosomal RNA". It matches the Rfam family "Bacterial small subunit ribosomal RNA", at positions 524 to 776 of the family's 1533-position model. The record is from RNAcentral.
UACGUAGGGUGCAAGCGUUGUCCGGAAUUAUUGGGCGUAAAGAGCUCGUAGGCGGUUUGUCGCGUCGAAUGUGAAAACCCGGGGCUCAACCCCGGGCCUGCAUUCGAUACGGGCAGACUAGAGUUCGGUAGGGGAGUCUGGAAUUCCUGGUGUAGCGGUGAAAUGCGUAGAUAUCAGGAGGAACACCUGUGGCGAAAGCGGCUCACUGGACCAUAACUGACGCUGAUGCACGAAAGCUAGGGGAGCAAACAGG